Myxocyprinus asiaticus (Chinese sucker) is the source of this 2628-nucleotide long non-coding RNA. RefSeq lists it as uncharacterized. The transcript is spliced from 3 exons. The record is from RefSeq and is a predicted model, not a curated record. Lineage: Eukaryota; Metazoa; Chordata; Actinopteri; Cypriniformes; Catostomidae.
AAUGCUGCAUGACAGGAAACCAGGCCGACUGAGCUGAGAUAUUGUGUAACAAACAAGACAGAAACUAAGGGUUAACAGUGCCAUGGUACUGGGUUGUCUUUCUUGUCUGCGUUUCACACACCUGUAGUGACAGUUCGUUGAACACUGUCCACUCCACUGAGGCUUACACCCAUUUUCAUGUGGCAGAGAUAAAUAAUAAGGCUGGACAUGGAUCAGUAUUGUUUUGCCAUUAUGUCAAGAGCAGAAACUGUCUUGCCUUUGUCACACACUUGAAUGUAAACCAGACAUGCUAAUGUGCUUCAUCAUUUGAUGCAAUGAUUUAUGUGAGUGACCUUGAAUUUUCACUCUUAAGGAUGCAUAGAUGGGGAAUGGAGAAAAAAAAUAAAAUUAAUAUAAAAUGUAAUAAUUUUUAGGGGAGGUAAAUUAUCAUCUCUGUUGUCAGGAAACAUAGGUCAACGAAGUUGCAACAUGUAGAGUGAUUCACUUCCUGUACUUCCUGUGGUUUUCAACUGGUUUUCCUUUUGCUUCAUUUUACAUUGGACAUCAAGUGGUGACCCAACACAGUAAAAAACAUAACCUGUAUUUAAUGUAACAUUUAUCUUAUAUUCUUCAAGCUUUAUUAGGUAAGCGAGGCAGAAGUGGCAUAGAUAAUAGACCAAGCACCUGUGGAGGCAGUGCCACGGUAGGGUCAGCAUGUCGAGAAGACGCUGUUUUCUUCACUGCGAAAGCAAGACCUCUAUGUUUGACUUCCAAAGGCAGAUGAAUUGAAGAAUCAGUGGUUCAAAUGUAUUUUUACCACUAUUCCUCAGCAGUACAACCACAACCAAUGCCGGAUUGUCAAGACGGUUACUCCUGAAAGAUGGUGCAGUUCCCACUUUAUUGGGACAAUCUGGUGCUUCAGGAUCACAACCUGCAAGUAAUUUGAAUUUGUUUGCAUCAAGAUGGAUGCCCAAAAACGCAAUGGAUGUCAAAGGACUCAUGGUUUUCUCUUUAGAGAUGGAGACUAGUAAAUCAGAGAAGACUUUCUAGAUGAUGCAUAGGUGAGCAGCUGGAGGUGCAUUGUGUGGCGAAACAAUGAGGACAUCAUCAAGCAGGUGGACAAGUUCCCGCCUCCUCCUUGUCCAUCCUGAAUCCCAUUACACUGGUGCCGAAACCCGGGAAGGAGGCGCUGUCGUGGAGUCCUCACCACUGCCGUCUGCCGGGAAGCGGAGUAGCCGCGGCUGUCCGCCGGGAGUCGGAGGAACCGCUGCGGUCCACCAGGAAGCGGAGGAGCUGUUAUCAUCUGCCAGGGGUUGGAGGACUCUCUACCGUCCACCAGAGGGCGGAGGAGUGGCUGAGGUCCAGGCGACGGCAUGUCCGGGGACCGGCGAGCGAGGUUUUCUCUCUCUCUCUCCUCUCUCACUGUCUCUCCCCCUCGCUCUUUCCCUCUCCCCUCUCCCUCCCCUCAUCUCUCCCAGGGCUCCAAAGAGGUGAGGAAGAACUGCCGGCAGAAAGACGGAUGGAAGGGCAACACCUCCCCUCCAGGAAGGGAGGGGAGUAUGUCAAGCCAGAGGUUUCCCCGGCCUGAAUUGGGCGGUGAAGGAGUGUGACGAGGAGGAGGGCGUGGCCGGGCCGUGAGGAUGCACGCCCAGCGCUGAAUUGUCCUAAUCAGCCGGGAGGGGUAUAAAGACGAGCCGGGUUAGAGAGAGAGAGAGGCACACGUGGCCGCUGUGUGUAUGUGUAUGUGUGUUUAUGUUUGUUUAAGAUGAUUUAUGUCAUUAAAGUUAUGUUGACUGUUCUGCCGGUUCCCGCCUCCUCCUUGCCCAUUCUGAAACCCGUUACACUCCUCUUAUAAUACAGUAAAAAAGAAUAUUUAGUGUGAAACACAUUGAAGAUUAGCGGACAGAGUGAUGAGCUGUUCCCUCACAAAAGCAGUUUAUUAGUCUAUUAACAUCCAUUCAAAAGGAAUGGCCUCUGAUCUCUUCACCAGUGUACCGCUGCGUACCACCACUAACCUUGAAUGCUCCCCCUUGAUAAAGGGGUUCUCGGUUAAGAGCGAUCUGCUACGAUGUCACAAUCGAGUUGCAUUCUGGGAGAUGGGGCUGCCUGAAGCAUACAUAUGUGUAGGGUCUCUCACUCAGUCAAAAUUGAGAGGUUGAGGGUCUGUCAGAAGAAAUUUCCCUCAGCCACUUAACAAAGUGGAACGGACUUCCAAAAUGGCAGCAAGGAUUCCCCUGAGAGGAAGUGUUUAGGAAAGUUAGCGAGUGUAUGUUUAAAGUGAAGUGGAACGCAGCCCACAUCAUUGGUGCAAGUGAUUCCGUGAUGGCUCACGCCACACUUGCACGAAAAACCAGGUUUUAAUCGCAUCACGGUUUCAGAAGAGAAGCAUAUUUAGCACAUUUAAAGUGCCAAACGCGAGUUGGAUAUAAUUACAUUUGUCUUGAAUGCUCCGAAAUUGAGCCGUGGAAAAUUGGAAUGGAGAAAGAACCCUGGCAUUGUUCUUUCCUUGCUGUUUCUUGCAAUUUAAUGUUGCAACCCACCAGUUGAGAAACACUGCUGUAGACAGAUCCUGAUUAACUGUCUCUCUGACCGUAACUGCUCUAAGCUGCUCUAACCUCUUAGCUGCUGUGCAAACAGAGAUAUUGGCAU